This is an RNA transcript of Hylaeus volcanicus, 1617 nucleotides long. It is a transcript of the gene named p53 and DNA damage-regulated protein 1, with no coding region annotated. NCBI's taxonomy places the organism in Eukaryota, Metazoa, Arthropoda, Insecta, Hymenoptera, Colletidae. The transcript has 2 exons. The record is from RefSeq and is a predicted model, not a curated record.
GUUACAUUGCAUUAAAAAUCAGUAGCCUUUCGUGAAAUGUGGCUUCCUCGUUUCGUUUCUUAACAUUAAUGAUAUAUUAGUGUUUAAAAAUCUGUCAUGCUGAAAGGAAAAUAUACAAAAAUCUUAAAACAAAUGAUUCUUCUAAUUAGAUGACAGUCUGUUUAAUAUGCAUUACGGAAAUAUAAUUUCACAUAAAUCACUGAAAAUUUGUAUGUAAAGUAAAAGUAGAAACAUGUUUAAACAAAGCAAUUUUUUCACCUAUAAUAACGACAUGAUGUGGAAAACGUUCGUUCGAGAAUCUUCCGACGUUCCGAACACAUCAUCGGAAAUAAAAGAACAUCGAUUAGGAUUUCAAGGCAAUGAAGCCAAAGAGGCUUACGAAGAGGUUGUAAGUCAAGAGAGUAACGUGAAUUUGCAACUUGAGAAACAUAAGUAUUGCAAACCUAGGACACUUGUUACUCGAAACAAUGUAACGUCGAGAUCGAUCUUUUCGAAUGAGAAAGUAAAAAAGAAUCAAAUCUCCGAGGAACAGGUGACGAUUAAUUCCAUAUUAAAAGCAGUGGAACAAAAGGAUUUAAAAUUUUUACUGAAACACGCAACACAAGAAAAUGUUAAUUUAACAGAUGACUUUGGUUGGACUCCUUUAAUGUCGGCUGCUUAUUGUGGCCACUUAGAUAUUAUCAAAUUUCUAUUGAAUCUUGGAGCCAACAAAAAAGCUAGAGAAAAAUCUGGUCUUACUGCUGCACAACUGGCUUUAAAAAAAAAUUAUUUAAACAUAGUUGCUUUACUCAAAAAGAAAACAGAAUCUAAAAUUAAUAAAAUUUCAGCAGAAAUAAAUGUUGAUAAGUCAGGAAUGAAUAAUGAUGGUGUGUUGCAGACAAGAUCAGAACUAAUAGAACCUUUGACAAAUCACAUUGGAAUCAUACAUAAAAAUAAUAAUAGUGCAAGAGAACAGUUGGAAGAAGGUACAGGUUUUUACUGUGAGAUUUGCAAAGUUUAUUUUUAUGAAACAUCUUGGAAGAAACAUGAGACAUCUACCCUUCAUAUUUUCAAUACAAAACCAAAACUAUCAAACGCUAUGUAUGGAAUAUCAAAACAAAAUAAAGGUUAUCAAAUGCUUUUAAGUACUGGAUGGGAUGAAGAAUGUGGUCUUGGUCCUUCAGGGAAAGGAAUGAAAUACCCUAUAAAAACAUGUCUAAAAAUUGAUAGAAAAGGAAUAGGUCAGCCAAGUGGAAAUGGAUACAGAGUAACUCACUUCAAACCUGGAGAUACUACAGCAGUUAGUAAUCUUACGAUACCCAAGCAAAAAUACCUUAAAAAGAAAGACAGAGAAAAAUUGUUGAAUAGAGAAGUUACAAAAGAAAGAUCAUUACGCAUUGCUUUAUCUUAAAGUUCAGCAUUUUUGUAAGCUAAUAUUUAAGUUUCUUGUUGAAACUUAAUGAAAUAAUUUUUACAUUCAGUACUUAUUUUAAAUGUAUGAAGGAUGAUCAACAGAUGUUAUUAAAACAUUUGCAACAGGUAGAAGAAAAAGCAGGGGAGAUACUGACAGAUCGCCAGGAAAUAGUUGCCUUAGACAAGAGAAGAAACAAUGAUAGAGUUGGAAUGAGGGCACUACAG